GACAAUAAAUUACAUCAAUUUAAUAAUAUAAUACUUAUAUAUGAGAUAAUCAAUUUAAAACUGUUAGCGGUGAUAAUGCUCUAUAGAAAUAUGAUUUCAAAAAUAAAAUUUUAAUAUACUAUUUUAUGUGCUUUAGAAAAAUGAAAAAAAUAGAAAAAAGGUUUGAACAGUGAACUUUAAUUAUAUUGUACAAAAUUAUAAAAGUAAGAUUAUUCUUAGAGAUUCACUAAUUAAGAUAUCUCAAGUUAUUUAACGAAUGAUGACUAAAAGAAAG
RNAcentral lists this long non-coding RNA (274 nucleotides) under Brassica rapa (field mustard). RNAcentral describes it as "long non-coding RNA (BRAP_LNC002739)". The record is from RNAcentral. Lineage: Eukaryota; Viridiplantae; Streptophyta; Magnoliopsida; Brassicales; Brassicaceae.